GCCAGGUGUGGUGGCGCACACCUGUAAUCUCAGUACUGGAGAGGCUGAGGCAUGAGAAUAGCUUGAACCCAGGAGGCAGAGGCUGCAGUGAGCCGAGAUCAUGCCACUGCACUCCAGCCUGGGUGACAGAGCAAGACUCUGUCUCAA
This 147-nucleotide non-coding RNA is filed under the name Gorilla gorilla gorilla (western lowland gorilla). The record is from Rfam by way of RNAcentral. Lineage: Eukaryota; Metazoa; Chordata; Mammalia; Primates; Hominidae.